This 1264-nucleotide ribosomal RNA is filed under the name metagenome. RNAcentral describes it as "bacterial LSU rRNA". It matches the Rfam family "Bacterial large subunit ribosomal RNA", at positions 1644 to 2925 of the family's 2925-position model. The record is from RNAcentral.
GUACCAUAACCGACACAGGUGGGUAGGUAGAGUAUACUAAGGGGCGCGAGAUAACUCUCUCUAAGGAACUCGGCAAAAUGACUCCGUAACUUCGGGAGAAGGAGUGCCUUAUUUAUAAGGUUGCAAUAACAAGAUCCAAGCAACUGCUUAUCAAAAACACAGGUCUCCGCUAAGUCGUAAGACGAUGUAUGGGGGCUGACGCCUGCCCAGUGCCAGAAGGUUAAAGAAGUUGGUUAGUGUAUGCGAAGCUGAUGACUGAAGCCCUGGUGAACGGCGGCCGUAACGAUAACGGUCCUAGGGUAGCGAAAUUCCUUGUCGGGUAAGUUCCGACCCGCACGAAAGGCGUAAUGAUUUGGAUACUGUCUCGGAGAGAGGCUCGGUGAAAUAGACUUGUCUGUGAAGAUGCGGACUACCUGCACCAGGACAGAAAGACCCUAUGAAGCUUUACUGUAACUUGAAAUUGGAAUUGGACUUUGCUUGCGCAGUAUAGGUGGGAAGCGUUGAAGAUAUUCUUGCGGGAGUAUUGGAGCUAUCAGUGAGAUACCACUCUUGUAAUGUUAGAUUUCUAACUUUGAACCAUAAUCUGGUCAAAGAACAGUUUCAGGUGGGCAGUUUGACUGGGGCGGUCGCCUCCAAAUGGUAACGGAGGCGUACAAAGGUUUCCUCUGAACGGAUAGAAAUCGUAUCUAGAGUGUAAAGGCAUAAGGAAGCUUGACUGUGAGACCUACAAAUCGAGCAGGGACGAAAGUCGGUCUUAGUGAUCUGACGGUACUGAGUGGAAAGGCCGUCACUCAACGGAUAAAAGUUACUCUAAGGAUAACAGGCUGAUCUCCCCCAAGAGUUCACAUCGACGGGGAGGUUUGGCACCUCGAUGUCGGCUCAUCGCAUCCUGGGGCGGUAGUACGUCCCAAGGGUUGGGCUGUUCGCCCAUGAAAGCGGUACGCGAGCUGGGUUCAGAACGUCGUGAGACAGUUCGGUCCAUAUCCGGUGUAGGCGUUAGAAUAUUGAGAGGAGCCUUCUUUAGUACGAGAGGACCGAGAAGGACACACCGCUGGUGUACCAGUUAUCGUGCCAACGGUAAACGCUGGGUAGCUAUGUGUGGAGUGGAUAACCGCUGAAAGCAUCUAAGUGGGAAGCCCACCUCAAGAUGAGUAUUCUCACAGGGUUAACCUGGUAAGGUCACGGGCAGACCACCCGUUAAUAGGCACUAGGUGGAAGUCUAGUAAUGGAUGGAGCCAAGGUGUACUAACAGACCGAGGGCUUG